AUGAACGCUAGCGGCAGGCCUAACACAUGCAAGUCAGGGGCAGCACAGGUAGCAAUACUGGGUGGCGACCGGCGGAUGGGUGCGUAACGCGUAUGCAACCUACCAUUGAUUGGGGCAUAGCCCGAAGAAAUUCGGAUUAAUACUCCAUAAUAUUCAUCAAAGGCAUCUUUUAUGAAUUAAAGCUUUUGCGAUCAAUGAUGGGCAUGCGUGACAUUAGUUAGUUGGUGAGGUAACGGCUCACCAAAACGAUGAUGUCUAGGGGUUCUGAGAGGAUUAUCCCCCACACUGGUACUGAGACACGGACCAGACUCCUACGGGAGGCAGCAGUGAGGAAUAUUGGUCAGUGGACGCAAGUCUGAACCAGCCAUGCCGCGUGCAGGAUGACGGCCCUAUGGGUUGUAAACUGCUUUUCCACGGGAAGAACCCUCCGACGUGUCGGAGACUGACGGUACCGUGGGAAUAAGCAUCGGCUAACUCCGUG
This 481-nucleotide ribosomal RNA is filed under the name uncultured bacterium. RNAcentral's name for it is "bacterial SSU rRNA". It matches the Rfam family "Bacterial small subunit ribosomal RNA", at positions 29 to 507 of the family's 1533-position model. The record is from RNAcentral.